GACGAACGCUGGCGGCAUGCCUAAUACAUGCAAGUCGAGCGGAGUUGAUAGAAAGCUUGCUUUCUUGAUACUUAGCGGCGGACGGGUGAGUAACACGUAGGCAACCUGCCCUCAAGCUUGGGACAACUACCGGAAACGGUAGCUAAUACCGAAUACUUGUUUUCUUCGCCUGAAGGAAACUGGAAAGACGGAGCAAUCUGUCACUUGGGGAUGGGCCUGCGGCGCAUUAGCUAGUUGGUGAGCUAACGGCUCACCAAGGCGACGAUGCGUAGCCGACCUGAGAGGGUGAUCGGCCACACUGGGACUGAGACACGGCCCAGACUCCUACGGGAGGCAGCAGUAGGGAAUCUUCCGCAAUGGGCGAAAGCCUGACGGAGCAAUGCCGCGUGAGUGAUGAAGGUUUUCGGAUCGUAAAGCUCUGUUGCCAGGGAAGAACGCUUGGGAGAGUAACUGCUCCCAAGGUGACGGUACCUGAGAAGAAAGCCCCGGCUAACUACGUGCCAGCAGCCGCAGUAA
RNAcentral lists this ribosomal RNA (516 nucleotides) under uncultured bacterium. RNAcentral's name for it is "partial 16S ribosomal RNA". It matches the Rfam family "Bacterial small subunit ribosomal RNA", at positions 28 to 523 of the family's 1533-position model. The record is from RNAcentral.